CUGUGGGACCCUCCAUCUACUCUGUGCCAUGUCUGCUCUGAGCUUUGACUGCCAUGAGCAGGUUUUCAGAGGAGGAACCACAGGUUUGUCCACAUUCUGCUGCAAGGAGAGCGGGGAUGGAGGUGUGGUGCUGUGCUAGUUGCACCCUGGGUAUGAGCCAUGGGGAACGUGCUUGGUCAGUGCAUUCGUGGAGUCGGUUUGGUGGGGCUGCGAGCACCAAGCAUCACAAGCCACACCUGACAUGAACUAUGCAGAAGCAGAGAAGGGGAAGACAAGAGCUCUCCUGCUGAAUGGGAUGUGAAUGAAGAAAAUGUGGUCCUGGAUUUGGGCUCAGCUGCCAUUCCCGAGUCGGGCACGGCCCGGGUGAAGCCGCGGCCCACCGUGAAGCACCACAUGGCAUCUGCUUCUUCCCCUGAUGACCUGUAUGGCUUGGCUGUCCCAACUCCGACAGUACCCCUCCUGCCUCCGGCCAACGGUGCCACACCAGCAGGGAAAGCAAACAUGAACAUGUUACGCAGUGGAAAUUCUGGUCUUCAGGCAUUUGAUGGACAGGACAUCAUUCCUCCACCUCCACCUAUGGAGCCUCCACCCCCACCCCCUCAGAAAACCCCUCCUGCUCCAGUUAGCUUCCCAUACCAACCCUCAGUUCCUCCCACCUGGCAACCAUCAUCCCCAAAGCCUCAGUCCAUCUCAGUGAUUCCACCUCAGAAGUUUCUUACAGAUCCAUCCAGCACCAGUGCUUCUCCAUCUGGUUCAUUCAUGCAGUCUCAUGGUCCAGCUUCUGCUAAACAUGGCAUUGUGACCCCCUUCUCACUUCCUGAUUUAUCCAUGGGGCAGUCACAACCCACGAGUCCCAGGAUCCAGAAGGUUCCCCCUCCAAAGCCACACAGGCUUUCCUCCAUCUCCAGCCAAGAUGGGAUUACACAGAUUCCAAGCCCAGUUCCACCUUCCCAAGAUGCUGCACCAUCCAGUUUCAACCCGCAGAACAAGGCUAAGCUGUACAACAUAGCCAAAACCAGUCUUCUGAGUAGCCAAAAAGAUGUUGAACCAAAGCAAAAGCCCAUACUCUUACUGGAGGAGUCUCCUUCAGAUCCAUUUGUGGUUCAAGCCAACAAUAAGGCUCCUACUCCUAUCAAGGGUCAAGAGUUGGCUGCCAGGCAGAUUGCUCCUAAUAAGCCAGCCAAGAGCAAUGCUGCAGAAGCCCAACUGCAGAAAGACCUGGCUGAUGUCACGGACAACCAGAUGGCCCCUCCUCCGAGUGGCACAAGAGAGGCUCAGCAGUUUCCUCUCCAGGAUUUGGCAUCAUCUGUGACUUCAAGUAAUUCCAGUGGAGCCACUCAACCCAUCCCAGAACAUCCUUCCAAGCUGGUGGAGGCUAGCCCAAACUCGAGCUACAUCAUGACCCAGUCUAGCAAAAGACACAGACUGGAGGGUGGCCAAAAGCCAUACUACCACAACAGAGGAAGCAGGGCCACAGGUUUAAAGGAGAAGACCACCUCACCCAUGAGCCUUCUGCUUGCUGCCAAAGAGAGAGAGAAGCGCAAGACCUUUGCCACCUCAAACAAGCAGGCUGAAACCAGUGCCAUCGGUGAGGCCUCCUUUGUGGGAAUCAGCCUAAGUGAUACCAGUCAUCUUCGGUCAUCUUCCCCAUCAGCAUCUACUGUUUAUCAUGUGGAGGACUUUCCAGGACAGGGAGAGAGCCAGGACACAGGCCACUCUACACCGUCACCAAUCCCUCCAUGGGAGGAGGAUGCUGUGGAUUUCAUCCCUCCCCCACCGGAAUUCGCAAACUCUGGGGAAGAUAUAAGGGACGAGUCCCCCCAUUGUGGACCACCCCCUAGCUUAGUGCCUUGCCCUCCCCCUUUGUGCCCAGCUGAAAUUUCCCUCUCAAGCCUCACACUGUCUGCAGAACCCAAGCAAUCCACAAAGGUGUCAUCUCCUAAUGGUCAGCUUGAGGCACCUUCUGCUGCAACCUCCCUUUCUGACAGCCAGAAGACCCUCCAGAGCAUCUUACAGAAGAAGAAGCUGGAGAUGGAUGAGAGACGUACUACUGGUGCAGAAAAAUGGUCACAGUCUCAGUCAGACAAAGACUGCGAUACCUCUGUUGGGCAACGCCCUACAACCGUGAAGGAAAACGAAUCGAACCCAAGAACCCUGCCUUCACAAGCACACAGCCUUGUCCUCAGUGAGCUGGAGAGCAAAAUAUCCAAGAAGGUGCUCAAAACAGCCAACAGUGAACCUCCGUCAAAGCAGUCCUACGGCAUGACCUUCAGAGUGCAACCGGGAUCAGAACAACCAGUCACCAUGAUCAGGAAAGGAGACUCUUCAUGAAGAUACAAGAAAUCAUGAGACCACAAGACAUGCCACUGUGUACCCCUACGUGUUCACUACCAUGGCAACAGGUGUUGUUGAUGGGGGUCUUCAAUGCUACAAAAGACAGCUGAAUUUACCAGCCUUCUAAGAACAAGAAGACAUGAGUUGCCAACCACUGGAGAAGAAGCUAACAAAGCGGGGGUAGCUGGUAGUGCAAUCGUUAUGGCUGCCACCUUUGGUUCUGAAGGUUGCAAGUUCCAAUCCCCCCUCUAGCUGUAGUACCCUUGAGCAAGAUACUAACCCUAAACUGCUCCAGCCAGGAGUCCAGACAAAACCCCCAGGACAAAAACCUCCUAGGGGGAUUUUGUCUGAGGGGUUUUGUCCUACACUCGCUCCACCAAAAUUACCCAGCUGUCUAAAUGGGUAAAUUGCUGUAAGUUGCUAGAAAAGCAUCCUGUAAAUGCAAAUUACAUGAGACUGUAAUCCUCUAAAGAAAUUUUGUGGGAAAAAAAAUAUAGAGCAUGUGUUUACUUCAGAAAAGCACCGUUUUUAGUCUUUGUGUAUAUGAAAUGCUUUGUAAAAGUAUUUUUACUCAAUACACUAAAUAAUGGCAAAGUUGCGAGAUCUCUUCUCUGUCUCUGGUAUUUGUAUCUGGUAUAAAUAUGGU
Scleropages formosus (Asian bonytongue) is the source of this 2980-nucleotide long non-coding RNA. The record is from Ensembl. NCBI's taxonomy places the organism in Eukaryota, Metazoa, Chordata, Actinopteri, Osteoglossiformes, Osteoglossidae.